GGGGAAUAUUGCACAAUGGGGGAAACCCUGAUGCAGCAACGCCGCGUGAGUGAUGACGGCCUUCGGGUUGUAAAGCUCUGUCUUCAGGGACGAUAAUGACGGUACCUGAGGAGGAAGCCACGGCUAACUACGUGCCAGCAGCCGCGGUAAUACGUAGGUGGCGAGCGUUAUCCGGAUUUACUGGGCGUAAAGGAUGCGUAGGUGGAAUUUUAAGUGGGAUGUGAAAUACCCGGGCUCAACCUGGGAACUGCAUUCCAAACUGGAAUUCUAGAGUGCAGGAGAGGAAAGCGGAAUUCCUAGUGUAGCGGUGAAAUGCGUAGAGAUUAGGAAGAACACCAGUGGCGAAGGCGGCUUUCUGGACUGUAACUGACACUGAGGCAUGAAAGCGUGGGGAGCAAAC
This 400-nucleotide ribosomal RNA is filed under the name uncultured bacterium. RNAcentral's name for it is "bacterial SSU rRNA". It matches the Rfam family "Bacterial small subunit ribosomal RNA", at positions 356 to 773 of the family's 1533-position model. The record is from RNAcentral.